Molecule: non-coding RNA, 46 nt
Filed under: Schistosoma curassoni
Lineage: Eukaryota; Metazoa; Platyhelminthes; Trematoda; Strigeidida; Schistosomatidae
Source: RNAcentral
GCAUUGCUGAAGAGCCCCACAACAGGACGAAAUGGCCAUCCAGUGC